This 301-nucleotide ribosomal RNA is filed under the name uncultured bacterium. RNAcentral's name for it is "partial 16S ribosomal RNA". It matches the Rfam family "Bacterial small subunit ribosomal RNA", at positions 509 to 807 of the family's 1533-position model. The record is from RNAcentral.
CAGCCGCCGCGGUAAUACGAAGGGGGCAAGCGUUGUUCGGAGUUACUGGGCGUAAAGGGCGCGUAGGCGGUUGUUCAAGUCAGAUGUGAAAGCCCUGGGCUUAACCCGGGAAUUGCAUUUGAGACUGAGCGGCUAGAAUCCGAGAGAGGUUGGUGGAAUUCCCAGUGUAGAGGUGAAAUUCGUAGAGAUUGGGAAGAACACCGGAGGCGAAGGCGGCCAACUGGCUCGGUAUUGACGCUGAGGCGCGAAAGCGUGGGGAGCAAACAGGAUUAGAUACCCGGGUAGUCCCUGUCUCUUAUAC